This 164-nucleotide ribosomal RNA is filed under the name uncultured bacterium. Its description in RNAcentral is "partial 16S ribosomal RNA". It matches the Rfam family "Bacterial small subunit ribosomal RNA", at positions 355 to 511 of the family's 1533-position model. The record is from RNAcentral.
UAGGGAAUCUUCCACAAUGGACGAAAGUCUGAUGGAGCAACGCCGCGUGAGUGAAGAAGGGUUUCGGCUCGUAAAACUCUGUUGUUAAAGAAGAACGUAUCUGAGAGUAACUGUUCAGGUAUUGACGGUAUUUAACCAGAAAGCCACGGCUAACUACGUGCCAG